CCUCGAGUAGCUCAAAAGCAGAGCAGCCGGCUGAUAACCGGCAGACGACGGCGCGAUACCGUCUUCGAGGACCA
Molecule: transfer RNA, 74 nt
Filed under: Opitutaceae bacterium
Lineage: Bacteria; Pseudomonadati; Verrucomicrobiota; Opitutia; Opitutales; Opitutaceae
Description: tRNA-Ile
Rfam family: tRNA
About the family: Transfer RNA (tRNA) molecules are approximately 80 nucleotides in length. Their secondary structure includes four short double-helical elements and three loops (D, anti-codon, and T loops). Further hydrogen bonds mediate the characteristic L-shaped molecular structure. tRNAs have two regions of fundamental functional importance: the anti-codon, which is responsible for specific mRNA codon recognition, and the 3' end, to which the tRNAs corresponding amino acid is attached (by aminoacyl-tRNA synthetases). tRNAs cope with the degeneracy of the genetic code in two manners: having more than one tRNA (with a specific anti-codon) for a particular amino acid; and 'wobble' base-pairing, i.e. permitting non-standard base-pairing at the 3rd anti-codon position.
Source: RNAcentral